RNAcentral lists this ribosomal RNA (406 nucleotides) under uncultured bacterium. RNAcentral's name for it is "partial 16S ribosomal RNA". It matches the Rfam family "Bacterial small subunit ribosomal RNA", at positions 30 to 526 of the family's 1533-position model. The record is from RNAcentral.
AUUGAACGCUGGCGGCAGGCCUAACACAUGCAAGUCGAGCGCGCGGCGGACGGGUGAGUAAUGUCUGGGAAACUGCCUGCUGGAGGGGGAUAACUCCUGGAAACGGUAGCUAAUACCGCAUACCCUCUGAUGUGCCCCGAUGGGAUUUGCUAGUAGGUGGGGUAAAGGCUCACCUAGGCGACGCUCCCUAGCUGGUCUGAGAGGAUGACCAGCCACACUGGAACUGAGACACGGUCCAGACUCCUACGGGAGGCAGCAGUGGGGAAUAUUGCACAAUGGGCGCAAGCCUGAUGCAGCCAUGCCGCGUGUAUGAAGAAGGCCUUCGGGUUGUAAAGCACUUUCAGCGGGGAGGCGUUACCCGCAGAAGAAGCACCGGCUAACUCCGUGCCAGCAGCCGCGGUAAUAC